This is a long non-coding RNA of Zonotrichia leucophrys gambelii, 233 nucleotides long. RefSeq lists it as uncharacterized. NCBI's taxonomy places the organism in Eukaryota, Metazoa, Chordata, Aves, Passeriformes, Passerellidae. The record is from RefSeq and is a predicted model, not a curated record. The transcript has 3 exons.
GGGAGAACAUGGCAGGAGGAGGAAGAAGCUCAGCUCAGUGGAUGCAGAGUGGGAGGCUUCCUAUUACUGAUGUGUAAAGUGGGAAAACAGCAACUCUACGUUGAAACUUAACAAGAUAAAAAGGAAAACAGAAGAUAAUACAUACAAGCUAAAAUGGUGAUCUAACUGUUGUGGGAUUCUACAUGAACAACGCUGUGGACGAAUUAUAUGGACGUGUGAGCAAAGCCUGGUGU